RNAcentral lists this unclassified non-coding RNA (1899 nucleotides) under Sipha flava (yellow sugarcane aphid). RNAcentral describes it as "serine/arginine-rich splicing factor 1B, transcript variant X2". The record is from RNAcentral. Lineage: Eukaryota; Metazoa; Arthropoda; Insecta; Hemiptera; Aphididae.
GCAACAAGAGGUUAUGGAGUGAAAUUGUUAAUUAUCCGUUGUUCCGUACGAAGUAAAUCAAUAUCAAGUAUAUCACGGACAUAUCAAUUCAUUGAAACAAUCCCGCCGUCAAUCUUUCUAUUGAUCGGUGUAAUCAUCACGUGCGAUUCUAUCAGUAAUUUUCGAUUGUUUUAAUUUCUUUUUUGUUUAAAUUCGUUUUUUAACUCCACCUGCGCAUCUACGGUUUCGGCCAAAACUUAAUCCGUUAGGACGUUGAACACGAUUGACAUUCAGACUUGUCUAACGACCUAAACUUAAUACAAAAACUCGACGAGUGGUCGUCACAUCUAACGUCUUAACAUCGUUCGCGUGGUUAUCGAUAGUUGUUUUUCGAGCAUUCGAUAACAAUUACGAUUAAAAAUUGUUCAUACAUAUAUUUAAUACAUAUAUCACAUUAUAUACAUCAUAUAAACACAUUUAAUAUUGAGUGUUAACUGUUUUACUUUUGAGAAAUUAGCGGUUUUACACGUUUGACUUUUUAUUUUUUCCGCUCGACGUUAAGAACUUGUACGUCAUAUCGUUGGCGUCCCACCGUUGCCAAUUAUCGUCGCCAGCAACCAUCGUUCGUCAAACACGUUUGGCACGCUUGGUCAUCGGUAAACCGUAAAUCCAUACGAGUAGUGUUUGCCUGUGUGUGUGCAUUCGCAUUUCGCCAGAGAAAAUGUCCAACAACGAUUGCAGAAUCUACGUGGGAAACUUACCCCCGGACAUACGUACUAAAGAUAUCCAGGACCUGUUUUACAAAUUCGGUAAAGUGUUGUUCGUCGAUUUGAAAAAUCAGAGGGGACCGCCAUUCGCAUUCGUCGAAUUCGAUGACCCGAGAGAUGCAGAAGAUGCAGUUCAUGCGAGAGAUGGAUAUGAUUAUGAUGGGUAUAGAUUACGAGUAGAAUUUCCACGUGGUAAUGGUCCACAUAGAGGUGGUGGAAGUUACAGUAGAGGAGGUGCUAGUAGUGGAAGUGGAAGAAGUAGAGGUCCUCCUGCUAGACGUUCUCAGUAUAGAGUAUUGGUUACUGGAUUACCUGCUUCUGGUAGUUGGCAAGAUUUAAAAGAUCAUAUGCGUGAAGCAGGAGAUGUAUGUUAUGCAGAUGUGUAUAAAGACGGAUCUGGUGUUGUUGAAUUUUUACGUUAUGAUGAUAUGAAAUAUGCUGUUCGUAAGCUUGAUGAUUCAAGAUUCCGGUCUCAUGAGGGCGAAGUAACAUAUAUUCGAGUAAAAGAUGAUUAUGGUGGUGGAAGUAGUCGUCGUAGUCGUGACUAUAAUAGUCGAAGCCGUAGUCGUUCUGUAAGUUAUUCACCUCGUGAUCGUGGUACACCAACAUAUUCACCAGUCCGAAAAAGUCAUAGCUAUUCAAGAUCUCGUUCCCGUUCGUAAUAUUGAGGAUAAGCAAAUGACUAACCAUUACAAGUCUGGCAACAAAUUUUUUGAUGAUAAAAUUGUAUUGCUUAUCAAACUGGACAACAUCCUUGACUUCUCAUUAUUUAAUCGUUGGACAGGAAAAUAGCCAUUCACUUUGUUUAAUCAAAAUUCACUGGCUACCGCUUGACUCAUCAAAAUGAUAUUGUGUCGUCCAAGCUAAAUAUUUCAAUGGUCUAAUAAACAUGUGCUGUAAUAUCUGUUGGGCAGCUUCAUGAGGAGGAUUCAUCACUUUUUAUUCCAAUUUGUAAUAAGGAAGUUAUUGGAACUCAAAUGAUUCUACAUUUGAUAUUGACAUUGAACAAAGAAUAAUGUUUCCAAUUUAACUGUUCAAGAACAACAAUUGGAUGUAUCAUUGAAAAAUUAAAUUAAUUAUUUUAUAUACUUCAACAUACCAUAAUUUGGUAUUUUCAUCAAAUCAUAAUGGUCCUGAAACAUAGUACUGCUAC